CCUACGGGGGGCUGCAGUGGGGAAUAUUGGACAAUGGGGGCAACCCUGAUCCAGCCAUGCCGCGUGUGUGAAGAAGGCCCUCGGGUUGUAAAGCACUUUCAGUGAGGAAGAACGCCUGGUGGUUAAUACCCAUCAGGAAAGACAUCACUCACAGAAGAAGCACCGGCUAACUCCGUGCCAGCAGCCGCGGUAAUACGGAGGGUGCGAGCGUUAAUCGGAAUUACUGGGCGUAAAGGGCGCGUAGGUGGCUUGAUAAGCCGGUUGUGAAAGCCCCGGGCUCAACCUGGGAACGGCAUCCGGAACUGUCAAGCUAGAGUGCAGGAGAGGAAGGUAGAAUUCCCGGUGUAGCGGUGAAAUGCGUAGAGAUCGGGAGGAAUACCAGUGGCGAAGGCGGCCUUCUGGACUGACACUGACACUGAGGUGCGAAAGCGUGGGUAGCAAACAGGAUUAGAUACCCUAGUAGUC
This 465-nucleotide ribosomal RNA is filed under the name Vreelandella stevensii. RNAcentral's name for it is "partial 16S ribosomal RNA". It matches the Rfam family "Bacterial small subunit ribosomal RNA", at positions 338 to 795 of the family's 1533-position model. The record is from RNAcentral. Lineage: Bacteria; Pseudomonadati; Pseudomonadota; Gammaproteobacteria; Oceanospirillales; Halomonadaceae.